Molecule: long non-coding RNA, 410 nt
Organism: Mustela erminea (ermine)
Lineage: Eukaryota; Metazoa; Chordata; Mammalia; Carnivora; Mustelidae
Exons: 3
Source: RefSeq, a predicted model, not a curated record
CAGCUGCUGCCUUCUCAUGCCAAGAGACUUUGUGAGCCUGAGGAAGAAGGGCAGAGAGGAGUGCCACAGGCUCGGGGUUGAGCAGUAUUAGAAAGAAGGAGAAUCAAAGAAGACAGUGCCUCUUUGAGGAUUCCAUCAAGCUUAAAUCCAGGAGAAAAGCAGACCCUGCUCGAGUGGGCUCUUCCUGCCAUCUUGGGUCUUGCCAAUAACACAUAGCCAGAAAUGUUCUGAUCUUUGAUCUUCUAUUGUAUAGGACCAUUUCUUUCCAGAAAGAAAAAGCUGAGAAGCCUUGAAACUUGGUAUAGAUUGUGAAAAAGUCAAUCGUCCAAUAAAAUGAUUUCCGAUUGAGCAUUUUCAAAUAAUUACCUGGAUGUCCAUACCUACAGUUUGUCCUGUGAUGUUUAGACGGG